GCCCAGACUCCUACGGGAGGCAGCAGUGAGGAAUAUUGGUCAAUGGGCGGGAGCCUGAACCAGCCAAGCCGCGUGAGGGAAGAAGGUACAGCGUAUCGUAAGCCUCUUUUGUCAGGGAACAAAGGCGGGGACUAGUCCCCGGAUGAGGGUACCUGAAGAAAAAGCAUCGGCUAACUCCGUGCCAGCAGCCGCGGUAAUACGGAGGAUGCGAGCGUUAUCCGGAUUUAUUGGGUUUAAAGGGUGCGCAGGCGGCUUGUUAAGUCAGGGGUAAAAGCCGGGGGCCAAACCCCGGCGAGCCGUUGAAACUGGCGGGCUGGAGUUGGAGAGAAGUACGCGGAAUGCGCGGUGUAGCGGUGAAAUGCUUAGAUAUUGCGCAGAACUCCGAUUGCGAAGGCAGCAUACCGGCGGCGAUCUGACGCUGAGGCACGAAAGCGUGGGUAUCGAACAGGAUUAGAUACCCCUGUAC
Molecule: ribosomal RNA, 466 nt
Filed under: uncultured bacterium
Lineage: Bacteria
Description: bacterial SSU rRNA
Rfam family: Bacterial small subunit ribosomal RNA
Source: RNAcentral